AUUGAACGCUGGCGGCAGGCCUAACACAUGCAAGUCGAGCGGAUGACAGGAGCUUGCUCCUGAAUUCAGCGGCGGACGGGUGAGUAAUGCCUAGGAAUCUGCCUGGUAGUGGGGGACAACGUUUCGAAAGGAACGCUAAUACCGCAUACGUCCUACGGGAGAAAGCAGGGGACCUUCGGGCCUUGCGCUAUCAGAUGAGCCUAGGUCGGAUUAGCUAGUUGGUGAGGUAAUGGCUCACCAAGGCGACGAUCCGUAACUGGUNUGAGAGGAUGAUCAGUCACACUGGAANUGAGACACGGUCCAGACUCCUACGGGAGGCAGCAGUGGGGAAUAUUGGACAAUNGGAGAAAGCCUGAUCCANCCAUGCCGCGUGUGUGAAGAAGGUCUUCGGAUUGUAAAGCACUUUAAGUUGGGAGGAAGGGCAGUAACUUAAUACGUUGNUGUUUUGACGUUACCGACAGAAUAAGCACCGGC
Molecule: ribosomal RNA, 474 nt
Filed under: Pseudomonas sp. NN018586
Lineage: Bacteria; Pseudomonadati; Pseudomonadota; Gammaproteobacteria; Pseudomonadales; Pseudomonadaceae
Description: bacterial SSU rRNA
Rfam family: Bacterial small subunit ribosomal RNA
Source: RNAcentral